ACGGAGGGUGCAAGCGUUGUUCGGAAUUAUUGGGCGUAAAGGGCGCGUAGGCGGUAAUGUAAGUCAGAUGUGAAAUACUUCGGCUCAACUGAAGAACUGCAUCUGAAACUGCAUAACUAGAGUACAGAAGAGGGAAACGGAAUUCCCGGUGGUGAGGUUAAAUUCCUAAAUAUCGGGAGGAACCCCAAUGGCGAAGGCGGUUUCCUUGUCUGAUACUGACGCUGAGGCGCGAAAGUGUGGGGAGCAAACAG
This 251-nucleotide ribosomal RNA is filed under the name uncultured prokaryote. Its description in RNAcentral is "partial 16S rRNA". It matches the Rfam family "Bacterial small subunit ribosomal RNA", at positions 525 to 775 of the family's 1533-position model. The record is from RNAcentral.